ACCUUACNGGUCUUGACAUACCAUGAAAAGCUUAGAGAUNAGUCUUUCCCUUCGGGGACAUGGAUACAGGUGGUGCAUGGUUGUCGUCAGCUCGUGUCGUGAGAUGUUGGGUUAAGUCCCGCAACGAGCGCAACCCUUAUUAUCAGUUGCCAGCAUUCAGUUGGGCACUCUGGUGAGACUGCCGGUGAUAAACCGGAGGAAGGUGGGGACGACGUCAAAUCAUCAUGCCCCUUAUGACCUGGGCUACACACGUGCUACAAUGGUCGGUACAACGUGCUGCGAACUCGCGAGGGCAAGCAAAUCACUUAAAACCGAUCUCAGUUCGGAUUGUAGGCUGCAACUCGCCUACAUGAAGCUGGAAUCGCUAGUAAUCGCGGAUCAGCAUGCCGCGGUGAAUACGUUCCCGGGCCUUGCACACACCGCCCGU
Molecule: ribosomal RNA, 427 nt
Filed under: uncultured Lactobacillus sp.
Lineage: Bacteria; Bacillati; Bacillota; Bacilli; Lactobacillales; Lactobacillaceae
Description: bacterial SSU rRNA
Rfam family: Bacterial small subunit ribosomal RNA
Source: RNAcentral